This 1678-nucleotide ribosomal RNA is filed under the name Salmonella enterica. Its description in RNAcentral is "partial 23S ribosomal RNA". It matches the Rfam family "Bacterial large subunit ribosomal RNA", at positions 1141 to 2802 of the family's 2925-position model. The record is from RNAcentral. Lineage: Bacteria; Pseudomonadati; Pseudomonadota; Gammaproteobacteria; Enterobacterales; Enterobacteriaceae.
CUCACUGGUCGAGUCGGCCUGCGCGGAAGAUGUAACGGGGCUAAACCAUGCACCGAAGCUGCGGCAGCGACACUGUGUGUUGUUGGGUAGGGGAGCGUUCUGUAAGCCUGUGAAGGUGUGUCGUGAGGCAUGCUGGAGGUAUCAGAAGUGCGAAUGCUGACAUAAGUAACGAUAAAGCGGGUGAAAAGCCCGCUCGCCGGAAGACCAAGGGUUCCUGUCCAACGUUAAUCGGGGCAGGGUGAGUCGACCCCUAAGGCGAGGCCGAAAGGCGUAGUCGAUGGGAAACGGGUUAAUAUUCCCGUACUUGGUGUUACUGCGAAGGGGGGACGGAGAAGGCUAUGUUGGCCGGGCGACGGUUGUCCCGGUUUAAGCGUGUAGGUGUGUGUUCCAGGUAAAUCCGGUUCACUUUAACACUGAGGCGUGACGACGAGGCACUACGGUGCUGAAGCAACAAAUGCCCUGCUUCCAGGAAAAGCCUCUAAGCAUCAGGUAACAUCAAAUCGUACCCCAAACCGACACAGGUGGUCAGGUAGAGAAUACCAAGGCGCUUGAGAGAACUCGGGUGAAGGAACUAGGCAAAAUGGUGCCGUAACUUCGGGAGAAGGCACGCUGACACGUAGGUGAAGUGAUUUACUCAUGGAGCUGAAGUCAGUCGAAGAUACCAGCUGGCUGCAACUGUUUAUUAAAAACACAGCACUGUGCAAACACGAAAGUGGACGUAUACGGUGUGACGCCUGCCCGGUGCCGGAAGGUUAAUUGAUGGGGUCAGCGCAAGCGAAGCUCCUGAUCGAAGCCCCGGUAAACGGCGGCCGUAACUAUAACGGUCCUAAGGUAGCGAAAUUCCUUGUCGGGUAAGUUCCGACCUGCACGAAUGGCGUAAUGAUGGCCAGGCUGUCUCCACCCGAGACUCAGUGAAAUUGAACUCGCUGUGAAGAUGCAGUGUACCCGCGGCAAGACGGAAAGACCCCGUGAACCUUUACUAUAGCUUGACACUGAACAUUGAGCCUUGAUGUGUAGGAUAGGUGGGAGGCUUUGAAGUGUGGACGCCAGUCUGCAUGGAGCCGACCUUGAAAUACCACCCUUUAAUGUUUGAUGUUCUAACGUGGACCCGUUACCCGGGUUGCGGACAGUGUCUGGUGGGUAGUUUGACUGGGGCGGUCUCCUCCUAAAGAGUAACGGAGGAGCACGAAGGUUGGCUAAUCCUGGUCGGACAUCAGGAGGUUAGUGCAAUGGCAUAAGCCAGCUUGACUGCGAGCGUGACGGCGCGAGCAGGUGCGAAAGCAGGUCAUAGUGAUCCGGUGGUUCUGAAUGGAAGGGCCAUCGCUCAACGGAUAAAAGGUACUCCGGGGAUAACAGGCUGAUACCGCCCAAGAGUUCAUAUCGACGGCGGUGUUUGGCACCUCGAUGUCGGCUCAUCACAUCCUGGGGCUGAAGUAGGUCCCAAGGGUAUGGCUGUUCGCCAUUUAAAGUGGUACGCGAGCUGGGUUUAGAACGUCGUGAGACAGUUCGGUCCCUAUCUGCCGUGGGCGCUGGAGAACUGAGGGGGGCUGCUCCUAGUACGAGAGGACCGGAGUGGACGCAUCACUGGUGUUCGGGUUGUCAUGCCAAUGGCACUGCCCGGUAGCUAAAUGCGGAAGAGAUAAGUGCUGAAAGCAUCUAAGCACGAAACUUGCCCCGA